ACACUUACCUGGCAGAGGAGAGCCCACGAUCACGAAGGCGGCUCUCCCAGGGUGGGGCUCGUCCAUUGCUCCAGAUGUGCUGAGCCUGCGGUCUCCCCAGACGUGGGAACCUCGCCUGCAUCGUCUGUGGUCGUGGGGGAUCGUGUUUGCUUUUUCCCCUA
Molecule: small nuclear RNA, 161 nt
Gene: U1
Rfam family: U1 spliceosomal RNA
About the family: U1 is a small nuclear RNA (snRNA) component of the spliceosome (involved in pre-mRNA splicing).
Source: Ensembl